Molecule: non-coding RNA, 227 nt
Organism: Xyrichtys novacula (pearly razorfish)
Lineage: Eukaryota; Metazoa; Chordata; Actinopteri; Labriformes; Labridae
Source: the annotation of a GenBank genome assembly
ACAUCAUUUCACCCCGAUGACACCAUGGAUGAGGAGAUGCUGAUUCUAGAAGUCUAGAAGUAGAUUUCCUCCUCUGGAAGGACACAAUCUACUGCUUAUAUGUCUAUGUGUCUGUCUUUAGAGAGACAACUCGUUAUCGUGUGAUUGAACGUGAAUCUGCGGGUUCUUGUGAGUUCUCGCGAUUCCUGCUGUCUGUAAUCUGCCACGAAAUUCGCCUCACAAACUGA